CCUACGGGUGGCUGCAGUGAGGAAUAUUGGUCAAUGGGCGAGAGCCUGAACCAGCCAAGUCGCGUGAAGGAUGACGGCCCUACGGGUUGUAAACCUCUUUUGUCGGGGAGCAAAAGACGCCACGCGUGGCGUUCCGAGAGUACCCGAAGAAAAAGCAUCGGCUAACUCCGUGCCAGCAGCCGCGGUAAUACGGGGGAUGCGAGGGUUAUCCGGAUUUAUGGGGUUAAAGGGGUGCGCAGGCGGAAGAUCAAGGCAGCGGUAAAAUUGAGGGGCUCAACCUCUUCGAGCCGUUGAAACUGGUUUUCUUGAGUGAGCGAGAAGUAUGCGGAAUGCGUGGUGUAGCGGUGAAAUGCAUAGAUAUCACGCAGAACUCCGAUUGCGAAGGCAGCAUACCGGCGCUCAACUGACGCUCAUGCACGAAAGUGUGGGUAUCGAACAGGAUUAGAUACCCCAGUAGUC
RNAcentral lists this ribosomal RNA (459 nucleotides) under uncultured bacterium. RNAcentral's name for it is "partial 16S ribosomal RNA". It matches the Rfam family "Bacterial small subunit ribosomal RNA", at positions 338 to 795 of the family's 1533-position model. The record is from RNAcentral.